GUGAGGUUCUGUGGACUGCAGUGUUUCAAGAGGUCAGACUAGAUGAUCAUGAUGGUUCUUUCUGGCCUUAAAGUCUGAGACUGAGCCUGUGACUUAGGCUCC
This is a non-coding RNA of Chelonoidis abingdonii (Abingdon island giant tortoise), 102 nucleotides long. NCBI's taxonomy places the organism in Eukaryota, Metazoa, Chordata, Testudines, Testudinidae. The record is from RefSeq and is a predicted model, not a curated record.